CCUACGGGAGGCAGCAGUGAGGAAUAUUGGUCAAUGGGCGCGAGCCUGAACCAGCCAAGUAGCGUGAAGGAUGAAUGCCCUACGGGUUGUAAACUUCUUUUAUAAAGGCAUAAAGUGAGGCACGUGUGCCUUUUUGUAUGUACUUUAUGAAUAAGGAUCGGCUAACUCCGUGCCAGCAGCCGCGGUAAUACGGAGGAUUCGAGCGUUAUCCGGAUUUAUUGGGUUUAAAGGGAGCGUAGAUGGGUGGUUAAGUCAGUUGUGAAAGGUUGCGGCGCAACCGUAAAAUUGCAAUUGAUACUGGCAGUCUUGAGUACAGUGGAGGUAGGCGGAAUUCGUGGUGUAGCGGUGAAAUGCGUAGAUAUCACGAAGAACUCCGAUGGCGAAGGCAGCUUACUAAACUGCCACUGACAUUGAUGCUCGAAAGUGUGGGUAUCAAACAGGAUUAGAUACCCUAGUAGUC
Molecule: ribosomal RNA, 460 nt
Filed under: uncultured bacterium
Lineage: Bacteria
Description: partial 16S ribosomal RNA
Rfam family: Bacterial small subunit ribosomal RNA
Source: RNAcentral